GACGAACGCUGGCGGCGUGCUUAACACAUGCAAGUCGAACGGAAAGGCCCUGCUUUUGUGGGGUGCUCGAGUGGCGAACGGGUGAGUAACACGUGAGUAACCUGCCCUUGACUUUGGGAUAACUUCAGGAAACUGGGGCUAAUACCGGAUAGGAGCUCCUGCUGCAUGGUGGGGGUUGGAAAGUUUCGGCGGUUGGGGAUGGACUCGCGGCUUAUCAGCUUGUUGGUGGGGUAGUGGCUUACCAAGGCUUUGACGGGUAGCCGGCCUGAGAGGGUGACCGGCCACAUUGGGACUGAGAUACGGCCCAGACUCCUACGGGAGGCAGCAGUGGGGAAUAUUGCACAAUGGGCGGAAGCCUGAUGCAGCAACGCCGCGUGCGGGAUGACGGCCUUCGGGUUGUAAACCGCUUUCGCCUGUGACGAAGCGUGAGUGACGGUAAUGGGUAAAGAAGCACCGGCUAACUACGUGCCAGUAGCCGCGGUGAUACGUAGGGUGCGAGCGUUGUCCGGAUUUAUUGGGCGUAAAGGGCUCGUAGGUGGUUGAUCGCGUCGGAAGUGUAAUCUUGGGGCUUAACCCUGAGCGUGCUUUCGAUACGGGUUGACUUGAGGAAGGUAGGGGAGAAUGGAAUUCCUGGUGGAGCGGUGGAAUGCGCAGAUAUCAGGAGGAACACCAGUGGCGAAGGCGGUUCUCUGGGCCUUUCCUGACGCUGAGGAGCGAAAGCGUGGGGAGCGAACAGGCUUAGAUACCCUGGUAGUCCACGCUGUAAACGGUGGGUACUAGGUGUGGGGCCCAUUCCACGGGUUCCGUGCCGUAGCUAACGCUUUAAGUACCCCGCCUGGGGAGUACGGCCGCAAGGCUAAAACUCAAAGGAAUUGACGGGGCCCCGCACAAGCGGCGGAGCAUGCGGAUUAAUUCGAUGCAACGCGUAGAACCUUACCUGGGUUUGACAUGGAUCGGGAGUGCUCAGAGAUGGGUGUGCCUCUUUUGGGGUCGGUUCACAGGUGGUGCAUGGCUGUCGUCAGCUCGUGUCGUGAGAUGUUGGGUUAAGUCCCGCAACGAGCGCAACCCUUGUUCACUGUUGCCAGCACGUUAUGGUGGGGACUCAGUGGAGACCGCCGGGGUCAACUCGGAGGAAGGUGGGGAUGACGUCAAGUCAUCAUGCCCCUUAUGUCCAGGGCUUCACGCAUGCUACAAUGGCUGGUACAGAGAGUGGCGAGCCUGUGAGGGUGAGCGAAUCUCGGAAAGCCGGUCUCAGUUCGGAUUGGGGUCUGCAACUCGACCUCAUGAAGUCGGAGUCGCUAGUAAUCGCAGAUCAGCAACGCUGCGGUGAAUACGUUCCCGGGGCU
RNAcentral lists this ribosomal RNA (1346 nucleotides) under uncultured bacterium. Its description in RNAcentral is "partial 16S ribosomal RNA". It matches the Rfam family "Bacterial small subunit ribosomal RNA", at positions 28 to 1381 of the family's 1533-position model. The record is from RNAcentral.